Small nuclear RNA from Mastomys coucha (southern multimammate mouse), 122 nucleotides. The record is from RefSeq and is a predicted model, not a curated record. NCBI's taxonomy places the organism in Eukaryota, Metazoa, Chordata, Mammalia, Rodentia, Muridae.
GUGUUGUAAGAAAGGAGAGAAAGCUUAGCACUUCCCUUAAAAGGACAGAAGGCCCACUGGGCAUAACACCUUCUAUAAUGUUAAAAAGCAUUGUCACACACUUUGCAACAUCUAACCACUUA